AACUGGUCAUUAUGCCAGGAGCCAGGAGAGGGCUGGGCACAGUGACUUUCAGGCAGGACAAAGUGGAAGAGACUUCAUGGUGCAGCCUGUGGCUUGUCACACCAGCCUGCUCCUCCAGACUCCAGGGUCUGGCUGUGCAGCCCUGGAUAGCCUAGCAUUUGCUGUGUAGAAUAGAUCGGCCUUGAACUUCUGGUGAUCAUAUUGGCUCUGCUUCCUGAGUCCUGGGGUUAUAGAACUGCACUACCACGCCAGGCUCUCGAGGCCAUCUUCAGCUUUGCCUGGAAGACUGUAGGCAGCCACUGAAGAUCACAUAAAGGAAGUGACACCACAUUGCCACGGUUGACAACUUAAGUUCCAUCCCUGGAAUCCCCAUGGUAGAAGGAGAGAACGCAAUCCCCCAGGUUGUCCUCUGAUCUCUGGACACAAGUGUGCCCCCCCCCACAUAAACC
This 449-nucleotide long non-coding RNA is filed under the name Cricetulus griseus (Chinese hamster). RNAcentral's name for it is "lncRNA (ENSCGRG00015036310.1)". The record is from RNAcentral. Lineage: Eukaryota; Metazoa; Chordata; Mammalia; Rodentia; Cricetidae.